AUUACCGCACUCAGAUUAAUUGAGAGCUAAGGGAUAAGGAGGGGGAAGAGGGAGAGGAUGAGAAGAAUUAAGAGAUCGUUUAAAAAAAUAGUUUCUCAAACUGCUCAUUAUAAAAGCGUUGAAAUUUAUAAUGCAAUGUUUAAACAACUGUAUCCUAUAUGGCGGGCACGAGUUUAACAUGAUUUGGCUUGUGAAACUUGUCGGCAGCGGCGUAGCGAAACAUCGGACAGAUAUGAUUACGUGGGAAAUGGAAUGGACAACGGUCGGCCGGAAAUGAAAGGAAACAUCUUAGAUAAUCGAGAUAUCAAUAAAGGAAGUAAGGACUCACAAUCUCGUGCAUGAAAUCGUACGAUUGGAUUACUAUUGGUAAUAAUGACGUAAAUAGUAAGGCCUUUUUUUUUUUUAAGAGGGGGAAUGCGUUACGCAUACCGGAUGCCUCGGGGAAAGCCACUCCGGUUAUGUGGGACUCUCUCCACAUCCCUAAAGGGACAAGGAGCCUACCCACUAAACCCCCUCUGGUUCCCUCGACUCACUGUUUACCGGGGUGUGGGCACAUGUGAAUACUCUUCGCACACAUAAAUAGCUAUAAGAAAUGCAGUUCACUGGCUGCAGCGAUCUGAUAGUGUGGUCUAGAUGGCAGCACACGCGCAACGCGUUACAUAACCUCAUCGUUUGCGGACGAAGAUGGACAUUGCGAAAUAUUAGUAGAAAUUUAGCCUGAAGGUCGCCGUGGCGCAAGUCUGCAUCGGUGUAUUGACAAUUGGGACAUGUCUGUACAACACCAAUAGCAAUGGAAUUCAAUGUUUGUUUAUACUACGAAAUAUGAAACAAUAACAAUAAUUUACUAAUAGAGUAAGAAAUAUCUUGUGUGAUGCUGAUAGUCAAAGAAUAGGAUUAGUAGAAAAGGCUGGAAGUAUCUGCAGGUUGUUGUGUAAACAAAGGGA
Long non-coding RNA from Papilio xuthus (Asian swallowtail), 944 nucleotides. RefSeq lists it as uncharacterized. Lineage: Eukaryota; Metazoa; Arthropoda; Insecta; Lepidoptera; Papilionidae. The transcript has 3 exons. The record is from RefSeq and is a predicted model, not a curated record.